GGAAGGAUCAUUAACACACCAAAAAAGUAUUAUCCACCUUUUUUGUUUUCAAAAAUUACUCGAGUUCAUUCUUGGGUAUUUUUGGAAAUAAAAAAAGCACCCUUGUGAAAAGUUAAAGUCUUUAACCAUAUUUCAUUAUAUGGUUAAACUUUUUUUAAAUCCCAUUGUCUGAAUAAUAAAUAGCUGAGAGUUGCUUUAAAGAAGAAUGAAUAGAAAUAUUUAUUUUAUUUAAAACCAAUUCUUGAGUAUGCAGUAACCGAGACACAACUUUUAACAACGGAUAUCUUGGUUCUCGCAACGAUGACGAGCGCAGCGAAAUGCGAUACGUAGUGUGAAUUGCAGAAUUCAGUGAAUCAUCGAAGUCUUGAACGCAUAUUGCGCCUGCAAGUCCUCUUGCAGGCAUACCUGUUCGAGUGUCGACUCUAAUCUCACACCAAAAAAAAGAAAUUUGUUUUUGUGUUGUGGUAAAAAUGAGUUGUCUGGGGAUUUAAUUAUUUCUAGUCACUUGAAAUGGAGUGGUUUUUUAGGGGUGUCAAAUUGUUAAGAGAUCUUCUCUUGGUUUUGGCUUCCGAAAGUGUGAUAGCAUGCUUUUUUUAAAGUGUGAAAUUCUCUUUUGGACCGUUACCACUCUUUUUUUUCUUUACUGAAAUAUAAAAGAAAGGAGUUGAUUUUAAACAAUACUUUUAAAAAACUUCGAAGGAAAGGAGGGGGAUAAAAAGGGGGUGUGUGUUGGGUUGUUUUACUACUUCUCAUUCCCACUCUUCUACUUUUCCCCUUUCCAAUUUAAAUCAAUAAAACCUUCGACCUCGAAUCAGGUAAGAAUACCCGCUGAACUUAAGCAUAUUAAUAAGCGGAGGAAAAGAAACUAACUAGGAUUCCCUCAGUAACUGCGAGUGAAGUGGGAAAAGCUCAAGCUUAAAAUCUGAGGCGGUUUUUUACGUCUCCGAAUUGUAGUUUUGUGAACGGCUUCCGGGUAGACUGCUGUGUUAUAAGUUCCCUGGAACGGGACGCCGAAGAAGGUGACAGCCCUGUGUAAUGAAUGCGGAAGGGUCUACCAAUAACGUGCUGCCAGUUCGAAGAGUCAGGUUGUUUGGGAGUACAGCCUAAAGUGGGAGGUAAAUUCCUUCUAAAGCUAAAUAAUGGCGAGAGACCGAUAGCGAACAAGUACCGUGAGGGAAAGAUGCAAAGAACUUUGAAAAGAGAGUUAAAAGUGCUUGAAAUUGUUAAAAGGGAAGCGAUUGGAGGCAGUACCUGCUCGCUGUUGACUCAUUUGCUGUUAGGAUUUUUGGAAUUGUGUAGAAGAGUGGUCCUUCGUGGUCAUCGCUGCAUGGUUUCCUGGAGGUUCAAACGGUAGAGCAUUUCAGCAGUGAGUGCGUCAGCAUCAGUGAGGGAAGUGGGAUAAUGGUUAGAAGGAGGUGCCGAGGUAGUAGUCCUUGAGAUUAUUACAGCGGGUUACAACUUUUAGCAGAUACCAUUUCGUUUUUUUCACUGAGGGAUCUUAAAGAUCAUAAUCAGCGCCUCUUUUGGCAGGGUAAGAGUAGGUUAUGAGUUUUGUUGACGGGAAGGACAGCUUGCUGUGUUUUCUGAUCAUUGAGAUUCAUCAAUUUAUUCACCGCUUAAUCUGAUUAGAGAUGCUGACCAAAUGUUUCCAAUCGUCCCGUCUUGAAACACGGACCAAGGAGUCUAACAUAUGUGCGAGUGAUUGGGUGGCAAACCUAGACGCGUAAUGAAAGUGAGAGGUGGGAGUCCCUAAAAAAGACGCACCAUCGACCAAUUUGGAUAUUUUUGGAUAGAUUUGAGUAGGAGCGCAUCUGUUGGGACCCGAAAGAUUGCGAACUAUGCUUGCAUAGGGUGAGGCCAGACGAAAGUCUGGUGGAGGCUCGUAGCGAUACUGACGUGCAAAUCGUUCGUCAAAUGUGAGUAUAGCGGCGAAAGACUAAUCGAGCAAUCUAGUAGCUGGUUUCCUC
This 1967-nucleotide unclassified non-coding RNA is filed under the name uncultured fungus. Its description in RNAcentral is "sequence contains 18S rRNA gene, ITS1, 5.8S rRNA gene, ITS2, 28S rRNA gene". The stretch from base 802 to 1967 matches the Rfam family "Eukaryotic large subunit ribosomal RNA", at positions 1 to 961 of the family's 3401-position model. Lineage: Eukaryota; Fungi. The record is from RNAcentral.